This is a long non-coding RNA of Scylla paramamosain (green mud crab), 1766 nucleotides long. RefSeq lists it as uncharacterized. Lineage: Eukaryota; Metazoa; Arthropoda; Malacostraca; Decapoda; Portunidae. The record is from RefSeq and is a predicted model, not a curated record. The transcript has 2 exons.
GGUGUUCUCGAGUCAGUUGUUGGUUGGUGGGCGUCUUGGACGUUUCUUGAUGUCCUGGUAGUGUCAUGGGUUUGUGGCUGCACAAGUGUAUCAUCAAGUGUUGUUUAAUGCUGCUAACAUGAAGCGAAUAUGAACUGGUUGCAAGGGGGCUGUGCAGUAUUUGUUCUUGGGAUUCUGCUGGGUACCAGUGACGAGGCAUUGUCGUCGAAAUAAAGUUUAUUACGACAAGCUUGAUAUUCCUGGUACCAGAGUAACAUUUCGACAACACUCAACAUGGCAACUGGUAAACAAGGAGGUUCCAAACCAACCACAAUUCGACCGCGAUGUCAUUGCAGGCGCAGAGGAAGGCAGCUAGGCAACAGAGAGGAACCGCCAGGGCGAAACUAACACGUAAGCUACGAAAGUUUCAUGAGUAUGUAGCAAAUGAAGUGGCAUUUGUAAUUUUGGAAGAAAUUUAUGAGGGGGUUGCAAAGACUUAUGAGGAGGUUGAAGUAGCCAAAGAACACAAUUGCAAUUUGCUAGAUGAAGACAGUGAUGAACUUUUGAUAGAAGCUAAUGAGUACAUCAAAGAGUCAGAGGACAAAAAGUGUGCUGCUCAUGUGAUGUUUGUGAAACUUUAGAAAAAAGUGCAAGUGAAGAAACUUGUGAAGGUAAAGCCAAUUGAUGUACCCAGGUUUCAGGGAGAUGCGAGAGAAUACAGUAAUUUUAAGAGAGACUUUGUUAGAUUGAUGCAGUCGACUUAUGGGAAAGAUUCUUUUGUGCUCAGACAGUGUCUCUCAGGAGAAGCCUUGGAAACAGUUCGUGGCACAGAUCAUGACUUUGAUAAGAUACUUGAACGUUUAGAUGAAAAUUUUGUAAACAGCCGUAGAGUGGUUGAUGUGGUGGUAGAUGACAUAAGGUCAAUUGAGCCUAUACUAGAAGGUGAUAGUGUAAGUUUUAUCAAGAUGGUUGAUAAGACUGAGCAAUGUUUUCUUUAUCUAGACCAAAUGGGCUUAGCUUCAGAGCUGAAUACUGUUAAUAUGACUAGCCAGAUAGAAAAGCUUCUUCCACCUAUUCAGAAGCGUGAAUGGGUUAAGUUGGAGGAAAGUGAUGAGAACCAUGACUUGUUCAAUAAAUUGUUGGAGUAUCUUUUGAGUGAAAAAAAAAAAUUAUGAGAUAUUUAGAUGCCAGUGCUAGAAAAAAAUGAAACACUUAAGUCUAAAGUGAAUUAUGCUAGCAUAAGUGAAAACAAAGGUGGUUCUAAAGAUGAGAAGGAUUCAAAAGUUAUGAAAAGGAUAACAGGACUUGAAAAUGCUAUUGCAAAUAUUUCUGACCUUGUCACUAGACUUACAGAAGAAAAGAGUGGAGUGAAUAGAAAUAAAGGCUACGGUAACACACAGCUGAAUAGAUAUUGGUAUCAUGUGUCAGAUGGGCAUGAUAUAUCAACAGCAUUUUCACGAAAUCUCAACAAUAUUCCCAACAUAGAAUUCAGAAUAUUGGGGCCCUUAGUCAAGAAGCUAUUCAGAGAACUGGGAGAGGUGUUUCCAGAGAUUAGGAUUCUUUAAGGCUGAAGAUGGCACAAUUAUGGUAGGGCAAAGGAUGGAGAACUGGUUAAAGCAUACUUGGAAUCAAGAUAGCGUUAUUCUGUUACUAUGUUACCUAGAAAACAUCCAUUUACAGUCAUGUAUAUUAAUUACUUGUACAGUGGUGAUUAUGCUGGAGUUAAUGUUACAUUAUGUAAAUUAGAAUCAAAGUUUUGGGUUCCUUCAGCACGUAAAAUGAUUAAA